GGCCAGGCUGCCUCUCUGGAAUCCUGAGGUCCAUCAUGACAGGUUCUCUAGAUGAGGACUGAGCUGCACUGAGGAGUAGAGAAGUAGCCUGCAGCCUGAAGAAUGACAGCUGGCAGCCUAUGCUCAGAAAGGUGAGCUGUCCCCACAGCAUGGCCACUGACAAGUUGUGUAGGUCCACACCUGGGAACUGAAUCCCAGACUCAGAAGUGGGGAGUGCCAAACUUAACCACUAGGCCAGCGAGUUGGCCAAAUGAUUAUUCUUUAAAUAUUUCCAUUUAUCUUAAUUCUUUCAAAAGUGAAAAAAAUGGUGUCAAUAAACAUUAAAAGUUUCAAUAUUUUUGUUUACAGAAAUUUCUUUAUGAUAUAAAAAUGUUCAUUAAAAGUAAGCACAAAGUCAAUAGGAG
Molecule: long non-coding RNA, 404 nt
Filed under: Equus caballus (horse)
Lineage: Eukaryota; Metazoa; Chordata; Mammalia; Perissodactyla; Equidae
Description: lncRNA (ENSECAG00000045652.1)
Source: RNAcentral